GAUGAACGCUAGCUACAGGCUUAACACAUGCAAGUCGCGGGGCAGCAUGGGGGUUGCUUGCAAUCCCCGAUGGCGACCGGCGCACGGGUGAGUAACGCGUAUCCAACCUGCCCUUCACCACGGGAUAACCCGGCGAAAGUCGGACUAAUACCGUAUGUUGUCCAUUGACGGCAUCCGAUUUGGACGAAAGGUUUGGCGGUGAAGGAUGGGGAUGCGUCCGAUUAGCUGGACGGCGGGGUGACGGCCCACCGUGGCGACGAUCGGUAGGGGUUCUGAGAGGAAGGUCCCCCACACUGGAACUGAGACACGGUCCAGACUCCUACGGGAGGCGGCAGUGAGGAAUAUUGGUCAAUGGGCGUAAGCCUGAACCAGCCAAGUAGCGUGCAGGAUGACGGCCCUAUGGGUUGUAAACUGCUUUUAUGCGGGGAUAAAGUGGCCCACGUGUGGGUUUUUGCAGGUACCGCAUGAAUAAGGACCGGCUAAUUCCGUGC
Molecule: ribosomal RNA, 491 nt
Filed under: uncultured bacterium
Lineage: Bacteria
Description: partial 16S ribosomal RNA
Rfam family: Bacterial small subunit ribosomal RNA
Source: RNAcentral